Molecule: ribosomal RNA, 301 nt
Filed under: uncultured bacterium
Lineage: Bacteria
Description: partial 16S ribosomal RNA
Rfam family: Bacterial small subunit ribosomal RNA
Source: RNAcentral
CAGCAGCCGCGGUAAUACGGAGGGCGCGAGCGUUACCCGGAUUUACUGGGCGUAAAGGGCGUGUAGGCGGCCUGGGGCGUCCCAUGUGGAAGGCCACGGCUCAACCGUGGAGGAGCGUGGGAUACGCUCAGGCUAGAGGGUGGGAGAGGGUGGUGGAAUUCCCGGAGUAGCGGUGAAAUGCGCAGAUACCGGGAGGAACGCCGAUGGCGAAGGCAGCCACCUGGUCCACUUCUGACGCUGAGGCGCGAAAGCGUGGGGAGCAAACCGGAUUAGAUACCCGCGUAGUCCCUGUCUCUUAUAA